Molecule: non-coding RNA, 2163 nt
Organism: Carica papaya (papaya)
Lineage: Eukaryota; Viridiplantae; Streptophyta; Magnoliopsida; Brassicales; Caricaceae
Source: RefSeq, a predicted model, not a curated record
GAGUAAAAGCAGCAGAAGAAACGCGAAAAUACUGGCGGGAGUGAAUCGAACCCGUGUCCAAUUAGCCGGAAUCGCAAAGUUUCGAAAAGAGACGCUCCAGAGAUUGCUAGAGAGAGUUGCGAGCGAGCGAGCGAGCGAGCAAGCAAGCUUUCGUCAAUGGAGGAAUUGCGGAGUGCACUUCAGGAGCGGGGCCUAACUAUUUCUAACUUCCCAAAUAAAGGCCGUUGUCUCCUUACCACGAGAGAUUUCUAUCCAGGAGAAGUAGUUAUAAGCCAGCAGCCUUAUGUUUGCGUAUCAAAUAACUCCUCGACUGACUCAAGAUGUGAUGGAUGCUUUACAACGAGUAACCUUAAGAAGUGCUCAGCUUGUCAGAUUGUAUGGUACUGUGGGAGCACAUGCCAGAAGUUGGAAUGGAAGUUGCAUCGACUUGAAUGCCAAGCACUGUGUAGGCUUGAGAAGGACAGGCGGAAACUUGUUACACCAUCUAUACGAUUGAUGUUGAAGCUGUACCUUCGAAAAAAAUUACAGAAUGAGAAGGUCAUAUCAACUACAGCUAUGAACAAUUUCAAGUUGGUGGAAGUACUCGUGGCCCACAUGUCAGAUAUUGAGGAGAAGCAACUGGUACUAUAUGCCCAGAUGGCCAGCCUUGUCAACUUAAUUCUUCAAUGGCCUGAUAUCAACAUAAAAGAGAUCGCAGAGAAUUUUUCUAAGCUUGCAUGCAAUGCACAUACCAUUUGUGACAGUGAAUUGAGGCCCGUAGGAACAGGAUUGUAUCCUGUUGUUUCUAUAAUUAAUCACAGUUGCUUGCCCAAUGCUGUUUUGGUCUUUGAAGGGAGAGUAGCUGUGGUACGUGCUGUACAAAAUAUUCCCAAAGGUUCUGAGGUCUCCAUAAGUUACAUAGAAACCGCUGGAAGCACUAUGACUAGGCAGAAGGUUCUAAAAGAACAGUACUUCUUUGAUUGCACUUGUCCUCGCUGCAUUAAAGUGGGUCACUCCGAUGAUAUCCAAGAAACUGCAGUCUUGGAAGGUUACCGGUGUACAGACAAUGGAUGCAGUGGUUUCUUGCUUCGAGAUUCUGAUGGCAGAGGAUUUGUUUGCCAAAUCUGUGGCCUUCUUAGGAGUAAGAAUGAAAUAGAAAAGACUGUAAGUGACAUAAAAGCAAUAUCAGACAAGGCUUCUACAAUUCCUUCCCCUGUAUAUGAGCAAGAAGCUAUUAAGGUGUAUAAGAUGAUUGAGAAUCUACAAGUAAAACUAUGCCAUCCUUUUUCGAUCGACUUGAUGCGCACUCGGGAGAAACUUCUUAAGUUGAGGGAGGAGUUGCAUCCAUAGUUUAGAAGAAUGACAUCUUCUCCAGCUAGUUGAUAUCAACUAUGCAAAUCUCUCUAAUACUGGUGGCUAAUCAUUGAGGGGUAGAGUUUGAAUUUUAGCCCUGAUAUUCUUGAUCUUGAUGGAGGUGAAAAACUGGAGAGAAGCUUUGGAAUACUGCCGACUAACCAUUCCGGUUUAUCAAAGUAGUUUUUUGGUUCAAAUUUGAUUCUGGUUCUGGAUAAGAAAUAAAAAGGACCUUGCUGGUGAAAGAAAAACCUGCCUUCAAUUCUGUUAACUUUCGAGCUUACAAAUAUACACUGAUUGCUUUUAAUAUAAGGUGUGCCGUGCGCAGGGUGCUAGGUCUAGUCCUUCUAAAGUCAAAUUCUCAUGACUGUCAAAAUAUCUCAGUAAUCCUUAAAAUUCUAGAAACAGAUAAGUUUAUGCAUGGAACCUUAAAAUAUUCUUAGAUUUUGACAGUUUUUUCUCCUCAAAUCUCUCUUGAACAGCUUGUGCAGUGUUUAGUGGUCAUUUCAUGCUGUCAGAUCAAAGUGAAUAUCACGAGAUAACAUGAAAGACUCUAGGAGUAAUUUAGCUCCAUACUAGAAUAAUUAACACAUAAUGAAUCUUAACAGAAUGCUCCUAUUCAUCCCAAUUUCUGGUGCAUCAUCUAUUCUAGUUCUGUUUUAUUUUCCUUGUUUAUUGAAUAUUCAAUUUAAUAUUACUCUGAUCUUCUGAGCUUUCAUUUUCUUCUUCAUUGCAGGAGUUUAUCCACCAUCUCAUCCUUUGCUUGGAUUGCAGUAUUAUACCUGUGGAAAACUUGAGUGGUUGCUUGGAGAUACGGAGAAUGCUGUAAAA